UGCACAGCCAGCUUCUCUGGUAGUGAGUCCUGCACCAGGAGGGAGAGAAGAGCCGCUCAUCAGGCACAAGGGACUUGGAAGAGGUGGGACAACCUGCCGCUUCAGAACCUACAGAGCCGGCAGCCGGCAGGCUUGGCAGGAGGGACCACCGGCUGGGACUGGUCGCAGCCUCACUUUGAGGGCCUCUGGACUCUAGUUCCCUCCAAGCACAUGUCAAAGGAUAGCCUGGGGUGUCGGUGGUUAAGAGCCUAAAAGCAGAAGCCAGACUCUCAGGGACCAAAGCCUUGUUUUGCAGGCUCAGUGUGACCAUGGGCAAGUUAUGUGUUCAGUGUCCGUUUUCUCAUCUGUAAACUGGGAUAAUAAGAAAACCUACCUCUUGGGGCUGUUGAAGAUUCACGUAAAGCACUUAGAAAAAUGCUUAGCACCUCGACAAAUGUUAUGCUCAGAAGCCUCAAUAAAUGUUAAUAAUGA
Hipposideros armiger (great roundleaf bat) is the source of this 471-nucleotide long non-coding RNA. RefSeq lists it as uncharacterized. Lineage: Eukaryota; Metazoa; Chordata; Mammalia; Chiroptera; Hipposideridae. The transcript has 2 exons. The record is from RefSeq and is a predicted model, not a curated record.